This 218-nucleotide unclassified non-coding RNA is filed under the name uncultured Tomentella. RNAcentral describes it as "partial internal transcribed spacer 2". The record is from RNAcentral. Lineage: Eukaryota; Fungi; Basidiomycota; Agaricomycetes; Thelephorales; Thelephoraceae.
ACACCUCAACUCUCGUGGCCCGCCACGAUGAGCUUGGACUUUGGGGGUCUUGCCGGCCUAGCGUCGGCUCCUCUCAAAUGGAUCAGCUUGCCAGUGUUUGGUGGCGUCACAGGUGUGAUAACUAUCUACGCUUGUGGUUUUCUACCAUGUAACCUUCAGUGAUGGAGGUUCGCUGGGGCUCACAGAUGUCUCUCCUUGGGGAGGACAGCUUUUUGAAC